Molecule: non-coding RNA, 210 nt
Organism: Oryza glaberrima (African rice)
Lineage: Eukaryota; Viridiplantae; Streptophyta; Magnoliopsida; Poales; Poaceae
Source: Rfam
AAUAAGUGUAGUUUUGCAUUAUUUACGUUCAACGUUUGAUCGUUUAUCUUAUUUGAAAAAAAAUUUUAUGAUUAGUAUUUUUAUUGCUAUUAGAUGAUAAAACAUAAAUAGUACUUUAUGUGUGACUAAAUAUUUUUAAUUUUUUCACAAAUUUUUUAAAUAAGACGGACGGUCAAACGUUGGGCAUGGAUAUCCACAGCUGCACUUAUU